GAUGAAGAACGUAGUGAAAUGCGAUACUUGGUGUGAAUUGCAGAAUCCCGUGAACCAUCGAGUCUUUGAACGCAAGUUGCGCCCGAAGCCUCGGCUAAGGGCACGUCUGCCUGGGCGUCACGCAUCGCGUCUCCCCCAAACCGCCAAGGCGGAGGGGAAGGAAGAUGGCUUCCCGUGCCUCACCCGGCGCGGUUGGCCUAAAUUUGGAGCCCGCGGCACUUAGCUCACGCGGCGAUAGGUGGUGAACAAGGCCUUGGCCGUGCAAACAACCCGCUGCGAAGCUCUAUGUCACGUGCGCUCGUCGGACCCUUUGAAGUUGCCUUCGGUGACUUAAAACCUUUGCGACCCCAGGUCAGGCGGGGCUACCCGCUGAAUUUAAGCAUAUCAAUAAGCGGAGGA
This 399-nucleotide unclassified non-coding RNA is filed under the name soil metagenome. RNAcentral describes it as "partial contains 5.8S ribosomal RNA, internal transcribed spacer 2, and large subunit ribosomal RNA". The stretch from base 1 to 120 matches the Rfam family "5.8S ribosomal RNA", at positions 35 to 154 of the family's 154-position model. The record is from RNAcentral.